Molecule: long non-coding RNA, 180 nt
Organism: Lutra lutra (Eurasian river otter)
Lineage: Eukaryota; Metazoa; Chordata; Mammalia; Carnivora; Mustelidae
Exons: 3
Source: RefSeq, a predicted model, not a curated record
GCGCGACGCUUCCCAGUCUCCGAGCGCGGGCACAGGCGCACUGCGCGCAGCCGCGGCUCCAACCUUGUGGGUCAAAGGCAAAGCAAAGUGGUCUUCUGGAGGCCUGGCUCAGUGACUUUUUGAGUCUCUGGGUCCUGCCAGAUAGGCGUGCAGCUAUCAAGCUCUGGACAGGUGACCCUG